Molecule: ribosomal RNA, 246 nt
Filed under: uncultured Lactobacillus sp.
Lineage: Bacteria; Bacillati; Bacillota; Bacilli; Lactobacillales; Lactobacillaceae
Description: partial 16S ribosomal RNA
Rfam family: Bacterial small subunit ribosomal RNA
Source: RNAcentral
CGUGGGUAACCUGCCCAAGAGAUCGGGAUAACACCUGGAAACAGAUGCUAAUACCGGAUAACAACGGAUGAUGCCUAUCAACUGUUUAAAAGAUGGUUCUGCUAUCACUCUUGGAUGGACCUGCGGUGCAUUAGCUAGUUGGUAGGGUAACGGCCUACCAAGGCGAUGAUGCAUAGCCGAGUUGAGAGACUGAUCGGCCACAUUGGGACUGAGACACGGCCCAAACUCCUACGGGAGGCAGCAGCC